UCAAUCCUCGUACUUCACAACA
This 22-nucleotide microRNA is filed under the name Strongyloides ratti. RNAcentral's name for it is "str-miR-8391-3p". The record is from miRBase by way of RNAcentral. Lineage: Eukaryota; Metazoa; Nematoda; Chromadorea; Rhabditida; Strongyloididae.